ACGGCGAGUGAAGCGGCAACAGCUCAAAUUUGAAAUCUGGCCUCGGCCCGAGUUGUAAUUUGCAGAGGAUGCUUUUGGUGCGGUGCCUUCCGAGUUCCCUGGAACGGGACGCCACAGAGGGUGAGAGCCCCGUAUGGUCGGACACCAAUCCUGUGUAAAGCUCCUUCGACGAGUCGAGUAGUUUGGGAAUGCUGCUCUAAAUGGGAGGUAAAUCUCUUCUAAAGCUAAAUACCGGCCAGAGACCGAUAGCGCACAAGUAGAGUGAUCGAAAGAUGAAAAGCACCUUGAAAAGGGGGUUAAACAGUACGUGAAAUUGUUGAAAGGGAAGCACUUGUGACCAGACUUGGGCCGGGCGGCUCAUCAGGGGUUCUCCCCUGUGCAUUCCGCCCGGUACAGGCCAGCAUCGGUUCUUACCGGGGGAUAAGAACGGCAGGAACGUGGCUCCCUCUCGGGGGAGUGUUAUAGCCUGCCGUACGAUACCCUGGCGGGGACCGAGGUUCGCGCUUCCGCAAGGAUGCUGGCGUAAUGGUUACUAGUGACCCGUCUUGAAACACGGACCAAGGAGUCGUCCAUUAGAGCGAGCGUUUGGGUGUAAAACCCGCACGCGUAAUGAAAGUGAAAUUAGGUGAGAGCUUCGGCGCAUCAUCGACCGAUCCUGAUGUUCUCGGAUGGAUUUGAGUAAGAGUUUUAACGGACGGACCCGAAAGACAGUGAACUAUGCUUGUAUAGGGUGAAGCCAGAG
RNAcentral lists this ribosomal RNA (742 nucleotides) under Tubakia suttoniana. Its description in RNAcentral is "eukaryotic LSU rRNA". It matches the Rfam family "Eukaryotic large subunit ribosomal RNA", at positions 86 to 857 of the family's 3401-position model. Lineage: Eukaryota; Fungi; Ascomycota; Sordariomycetes; Diaporthales; Tubakiaceae. The record is from RNAcentral.